RNAcentral lists this ribosomal RNA (253 nucleotides) under uncultured bacterium. Its description in RNAcentral is "partial 16S ribosomal RNA". It matches the Rfam family "Bacterial small subunit ribosomal RNA", at positions 524 to 776 of the family's 1533-position model. The record is from RNAcentral.
UACGAAGGGGGCUAGCGUUGCUCAGAAUCACUGGGCGUAAAGCGCACGUAGGCGGCUUUUUAAGUCAGGGGUGAAAUCCUGGAGCUCAACUCCAGAACUGCCUUUGAUACUGGGAAGCUUGAGUCCGGGAGAGGUGAGUGGAACUCCGAGUGUAGAGGUGAAAUUCGUAGAUAUUCGGAAGAACACCAGUGGCGAAGGCGGCUCACUGGCCCGGUACUGACGCUGAGGUGCGAAAGCGUGGGGAGCAAACAGG